RNAcentral lists this ribosomal RNA (801 nucleotides) under Limosilactobacillus ingluviei. Its description in RNAcentral is "bacterial SSU rRNA". It matches the Rfam family "Bacterial small subunit ribosomal RNA", at positions 242 to 1024 of the family's 1533-position model. Lineage: Bacteria; Bacillati; Bacillota; Bacilli; Lactobacillales; Lactobacillaceae. The record is from RNAcentral.
UAGCUUGUUGGUGGGGUAACGGCCUACCAAGGCGAUGAUGCGUAGCCGAGUUGAGAGACUGAUCGGCCACAAUGGGACUGAGACACGGCCCAUACUCCUACGGGAGGCAGCAGUAGGGAAUCUUCCACAAUGGGCGCAAGCCUGAUGGAGCAACACCGCGUGAGUGAAGAAGGGUUUCGGCUCGUAAAGCUCUGUUGUUGAAGAAGAAUGUGCAAGAGAGUAACUGUUCUUGUAUUGACGGUAUUCAACCAGAAAGUCACGGCUAACUACGUGCCAGCAGCCGCGGUAAUACGUAGGUGGCAAGCGUUAUCCGGAUUUAUUGGGCGUAAAGCGAGCGCAGGCGGUUUUCUAAGUCUGAUGUGAAAGCCUUCGGCUUAACCGAAGAAGUGCAUCGGAAACUGGAUGACUUGAGUGCAGAAGAGGGCAGUGGAACUCCAUGUGUAGCGGUGGAAUGCGUAGAUAUAUGGAAGAACACCAGUGGCGAAGGCGGCUGCCUGGUCUGUAACUGACGCUGAGGCUCGAAAGCAUGGGUAGCGAACAGGAUUAGAUACCCUGGUAGUCCAUGCCGUAAACGAUGAGUGCUAGGUGGUUUGGAGGGUUUCCGCCCUUCAGUGCCGGAGCUAACGCAUUAAGCACUCCGCCUGGGGAGUACGACCGCAAGGUUGAAACUCAAGGAAUUGACGGGGGCCCGCACAAGCGGUGGAAGCAUUGGUGGGUUUAAUUCGAAGCUACGCGAAGAACCCUUACCACGUCUUUGACAUCUUUGCGCCAACCCUAGAAGAUAGGGCGUUUCCCUUUCGG